RNAcentral lists this ribosomal RNA (492 nucleotides) under uncultured bacterium. RNAcentral's name for it is "partial 16S ribosomal RNA". It matches the Rfam family "Bacterial small subunit ribosomal RNA", at positions 29 to 507 of the family's 1533-position model. The record is from RNAcentral.
AAUGAACGCUGGCGGUAUGCCUAAUACAUGCAAGUCGAACGGCAGCACAUUAAGAUCUUGCUCUUACGGUUGGCGGCUGGCGGACGGGUGACGCAUACAUCGGCAUCUACUUUUUCGUGGAGGAUAACGUAGGGCAAGUUACGCUACUGCCUCAACCUUCGAACGGCGUAAUUCAGGGGUGAUUGAUACUUUUGCCAUUUGAAUAAGCUGAGGCCGUGUUGGUUAGUCUGCGGGGUAAAGGACCACCAAGCCGACGAACCGGAGCUGGCCUGAGAGGAUGAUCAGCCACAUUGGAACGGAGAAACGGUCCAGACUCCUACGGGAGGCAGCAGUGGGGAAUAUUGGACAAUGGGCGAAAGCCUGACGCAGCAAUACCGCGUGGGUGAAGAAGGUCUUCGGGUUGUAAAGCCCUUUUGUUGGGAAAGAAAAGCAGCAGAAUAAUACGCCGCUGUUCUGACGGUACCCAAAGAGUAAGCAACGGCUAACUACGUG